RNAcentral lists this unclassified non-coding RNA (772 nucleotides) under Hevea brasiliensis (rubber tree). Lineage: Eukaryota; Viridiplantae; Streptophyta; Magnoliopsida; Malpighiales; Euphorbiaceae. The record is from RNAcentral.
GGAAAUCACAAUCUUAAUAAUUUGACAAGAAUUAGUCAUAUCUGGCCCACUCAAUAAUUUUCUAAUUUGCUUCAAUAAUAUGUUCCCUUCCAUCGGGGAAAACCCACUGUGCUAAUGAGAGAGACACAUCCUCUGAUUAGUUAUUUUCUUCUCCUCACACCUCUCAUGUCCUUCUACUGGGGAAACAAGAAAGCUAAGUUCCUGUUCUUGCCCUCCGGUGAGAUGGUGAGGGAUGGGCGACACGCGUUGGGUCCCGAAGCGUGGUUCUUCCAUUACCAUUGAAAGAUCUUUUUUCUUUAUUAUUAUUCUUUUAUUUUCCUGCUAAAUAAAGGGAUUUUAUUUUUUUUUAUUAUGGGGUGGGUUUGAACUUUGAACUUAAUGAUGGUAGGGCAAGAGUAGACUUGGAAUGAAGUACCGGACCAUCAUUCUCACCAUUUAGAAGACAACUGCACAUUUGCUUUAAAGAUCAAGCUUCACUUCCAUGACCAAAACCUAGCUCCAAUCAAUUGUUGAGUCUAGAACAUUUGCAAGCUAGCCCAUGUCGUUCUCAGUUUUCCUCCAUUGACAACUGUGGCUGCAUAUAACAUCUAGGAAUUAGCAAUAGGACAUGGAAAAAUGAGAUUUCAUCAUACUUUCUGAUUCGCCUCCAAGACUAGUGAUGUCUCUCUAGAGCUUGGAUGAGAAGGGCCAUCAACUGUGGCUGCAUAAUAACAUCUAGGAAGCAAUAGGACAUGGAAAUGAGAUUUCUUCAUACUUUCUGAUUCGCCUCCAA